UGUGCACACAGGUGUAAGAGAUUCUUCCUUCUCAGAGUCGUAAUUGGGUUGAUGAUCUACAUGAUGGUGAUGGACCAGGACAGCUCCGGACCCCCUGACUGGCAGCUCCAUCCUCAACCUGCCUUCUUGCCCUUCACACAUGUGCAGAUGAAAGCAGUCGUUCCUGUUCAGCAUUGAUGUGCCCGUAAUGGGUCUGAUGAGCCACAUGAUGAUGGUGAUGGACAACCAGCAUCAGGACCAGGGCGGCUCCAUGCCUCACGAGGACAACCUUGUGUCUUGCCUGUCCAUCCUCAACCUCGCAUCUUCCUGCUCUUCACACAUGUGCAGACACAGAGACAGUUUUCAGAGGGAGCGCUGAUGACACCAGCAACUUUGGAUCUGAACCUGAUCAACCCAGCACCAACCACUGUGCCUCUCCUCCUCAGCCGUGACUCCACCAUAUCCAAAAGGUGCAAACACGACUCCACUUCCUGCGAAGGAUGAGAAGAGCUGACCUCCCCAC
Long non-coding RNA from Engraulis encrasicolus (European anchovy), 502 nucleotides. RefSeq lists it as uncharacterized. The transcript has 3 exons. The record is from RefSeq and is a predicted model, not a curated record. NCBI's taxonomy places the organism in Eukaryota, Metazoa, Chordata, Actinopteri, Clupeiformes, Engraulidae.